Molecule: transfer RNA, 70 nt
Filed under: Cavenderia fasciculata
Lineage: Eukaryota; Evosea; Eumycetozoa; Acytosteliales; Cavenderiaceae
Description: tRNA-Met
Rfam family: tRNA
About the family: Transfer RNA (tRNA) molecules are approximately 80 nucleotides in length. Their secondary structure includes four short double-helical elements and three loops (D, anti-codon, and T loops).
Source: RNAcentral
GUUGGGGUAGAAUAAUAGUAGUUCGUCGGGCUCAUGACCCGUUGGUGUUGGUGCAAGUCCAGCCUCCGCA